Molecule: unclassified non-coding RNA, 413 nt
Filed under: soil metagenome
Description: partial contains 5.8S ribosomal RNA, internal transcribed spacer 2, and large subunit ribosomal RNA
Rfam family: 5.8S ribosomal RNA (bases 1-120)
Source: RNAcentral
GAUGAAGAACGCAGCGAAAUGCGAUAAGUAAUGUGAAUUGCAGAAUUCAGUGAAUCAUCGAAUCUUUGAACGCACCUUGCGCUCUUUGGUAUUCCGAAGAGCAUGCCUGUUUGAGUGUCAUGAAAAUAUCAACCUUGACUUGGGUUUUGUGCGCUAGUCUCGGCUUGGAAUUGGGUGCUUGCCGCUUUUACGAGCGGCUCACCUUAAAUGUAUUAGCUGGAUCUGUCUUUGAGACUUGGUUUGACUUGGCGUAAUAAGUAUUUCGCUAAGGACAUUCUUCGGAGUGGCCUCGUUUCUAGGACGCUUGUCCGCUUUCCAAUACAAGUUCCACCUCGUGGACAUGACUUUUUAUUAUCUGGCCUCAAAUCAGGUAGGACUACCCGCUGAACUUAAGCAUAUCAAUAAGCGGAGGA